This 72-nucleotide transfer RNA is filed under the name Clytia hemisphaerica. RNAcentral describes it as "tRNA-Glu for anticodon UUC". It matches the Rfam family "tRNA". Rfam says of the family: Transfer RNA (tRNA) molecules are approximately 80 nucleotides in length. The record is from Rfam by way of RNAcentral. Lineage: Eukaryota; Metazoa; Cnidaria; Hydrozoa; Leptothecata; Clytiidae.
GGUUCUAUGGUGUUAUGGUUAGGACUUUGGACUUUCAAUUCAGCGAUCCGAGUUCAAAUCUCGGUAAAACCC